GCACAACAUCUAGCACAACACCCAUUACCCACCACGCGUCCCUUAUCCACACAACAUCUAGCAACACCCACCGCACAUUUCCUCCUCUUCUCCAUUCUACCUGACGCGUUGCUCUCCCUUCUCUAUCCAGAGUGCCCAAGAACGGCUUGGCGUCGCUCCGCCACUCCUGUAGUGCGCGGCCGUGGUGGCUUGGAGAAUGCGCAACGAUGGCGCCUUGGAGCUCCUCUGUUGUCGUCCGAUCUGGCCGCCCGCCCAGCGCUCCAGAUCGGGCCAAUAUCCUCCCGGCAAGGCUUCCUCCAUCCUCCCGUCCGAGGAACGGCGACCGCCUUCUCACCCUCAGCAGCGGCCGUAGCCAUCUCCGCCGCCGUCCCGGACGGACGACAGGGCUAGGACUGGCGGAGGCCGAAGAUGGCUGCCGGCGGCGCAUGACCGAAUGGGCGCGUGCGUCUAGAUAAGAUACACAAAUAAAGGAUUGUGGGUUGAAUUCUAACUAAUGCAGGUGUGUUUCUCCCUGCCUCUCCUCCUUCCUUUCUGUCCCCCUUACCUCUGUCUCUCUCACAGGUGCAGCACCGCCGUCGCCAUGGAGAGACCCUGUCGGAGCUCGCCAUGUCGAUCGAAACCGGCGAGGAACGCCACCGCCAUGAACUUGGAGUUCAAACCCCGCCGCUGGACCUCCUCCCGCGCCUCCUAGAUCGCCUCCACGCCGUACUUGCAACAGGAUCCGGCCACCGCCGCGCCUCCUCGGCCGGAUCUGGCCGGAGAUCGCCGCCGCCGUGCCCGGCGUCGUCUGCAUCGCGGCAGUCUCGACAUCCAACUCGCUUCGCUCGCCAAUAACCACUUUGUUGAAUAUAAAAAACACAGGGUCCUUUUUGUAAGAACGACACGUUUUCUCACAAUAGCACUUCAGAUUGUACUGCGGGUUGAAUAUCCAAAAUAGGUGGGACUUUUUUUUUAAAUUGCCACGACGGACGACCAGAAGCAAUGCGUGGUUUAUUAGUAGGGAAAGAAAUAUAUAUAGUAAAUUAACAAACAAACAGAAGCAAGCAAGUGCUCAUCCCGCAUAAAAAUUGUAAUCGGUGCAUUGAUCCAGCAGCUUCGGUCGGUCCAGCACAACAUCUAGCACAACACCCAUUACCCACCACGUGUCCCUUAUCCACACAACAUCUAGCAACACCCACCGCACAUUUCCUCCUCUUCUCCAUUCUACCUGACGCGCUGCUCUCCCUUCUCUAUCGAGAGUGCCCAAGAACGGCUUGGCGUCGCCCCGCCACUCCUGUAGUGCGCGGCCGUGAUGGCUUGGAGAACGCGCAACGAUGGCGCCUUGGAGCUCCUCUGUUGUCGUCCGAUCUGGCCGCCCGCCCAGCGCUCCAGAUCGGGCCAAUAUCCUCCCGGCGAGGCUUCCAACAUCCUCCCGUCCGAGGAACGGCGACCGCCUUCUCACCCUCAGCAGCGGCCGUAGCCAUCUCCGCCGCCGUCCCGGACGGACAACAGGGCUAGGACUGGCGGAGGCCGAAGACGGCUGCCGGCGGCGCAUGACCGAAUGGGCGCGUGCGUCUAGAUAAGAUACACAAAUAAAGGAUUGUGGGUUGAAUUCUAACUAAUGCAGGUGUGUUCUCCCUGCCUCUCCUCCUUCCUUUCUGUCCCCCAUACCUCUGUCUCUCUCACAGGUGCAGCACCGCCGUCGCCAUGGAGAGACCCUGUCGGAGCUCGCCAUCUCGAUCGAAACCGGCGAGGAACGCCACCGCCAUGAACUUGGAGUUCAAGCCCCGCCGCUGGACCUCCUCCCGCGCCUCCUAGAUCGCCUCCACGCCGUACUUGCAACA
This 1823-nucleotide ribosomal RNA is filed under the name Triticum aestivum (bread wheat). Its description in RNAcentral is "partial small subunit ribosomal RNA". Lineage: Eukaryota; Viridiplantae; Streptophyta; Magnoliopsida; Poales; Poaceae. The record is from RNAcentral.